GUGUGUAUUUGUGGAAGAGGGGAGUUGUAAAUGAGGGCAUGUGAUCAGACACACAGGUAGCAAAUAGUGUGUAGGAGGAUGGCUGCACUGCAGCAGCAGGUUUUUGUCGUGAAGUAACUUGAGGUGAUCUGAUGAAAAAAGUCCUGAACUACAAUCCUGAACCAUUAAGGAGGCUCAUCUUAGACAACAACAGAACAUGGAAAAAAUAAGUCUGCAGGGGAGAAGAAGCUGGAGGAGAAAUUGACAAGAAGCCAGAGAAGGCUCCAGGGAAGCAGGAAGAUGGACCAUAGAGGCAGAAGAAGAGCCACCCAGCUGAGCUGAUAAAUCUGUCACUCCCAGGCCCAGGACAGGGCAGGGAAAGCCCUAGAGGCUUGGGAGGUGAAGAAGCCUUGGGGUCAUUGGUGGACUGAGGAAGGUGGGGGCCAGAGUGUGUGGGGAGAAAGGAGGAAUUCAGGUGAAGGGAGAAGGGAAACUCAGGGGCCAGGAAUAAGCAGGGUGGGAAUUAGAAGGAUGGGGAAGCACUUCCAGAGGUCUGGGGUUAAGGGGGAGAGUUACAGUGUUGGGGAGCCCCAGGAGUUUCUGCUACACCCAACUUGUCCUAAAAUUCACCAGCCACCACAGGGUUUUGAUCACACUUCUUUAUUCUUACUAGUACAAAAUCAGGACAUGGACUUCAUUGUGUAAACAUUAAAUGUUCAGUUUAAAUAUUAAACAAACCUGAUUGUUUAACUUAAUAUUAAAAUUCACUGAAAACUGGCUCCCCUACUGCCUGUUUCACA
Long non-coding RNA from Mauremys reevesii (Reeves's turtle), 779 nucleotides. RefSeq lists it as uncharacterized. NCBI's taxonomy places the organism in Eukaryota, Metazoa, Chordata, Testudines, Geoemydidae. The record is from RefSeq and is a predicted model, not a curated record. The transcript has 3 exons.